UUGAACCUGAGAGUUUGAUCCUGGCUCAGAGCGAACGCUGGCGGCAUGCUUAACACAUGCAAGUCGCACGAAC
Molecule: ribosomal RNA, 73 nt
Filed under: Parasaccharibacter apium
Lineage: Bacteria; Pseudomonadati; Pseudomonadota; Alphaproteobacteria; Acetobacterales; Acetobacteraceae
Description: partial 16S ribosomal RNA
Rfam family: Bacterial small subunit ribosomal RNA
Source: RNAcentral